GACGAACGCUGGCGGCGUGCUUAACACAUGCAAGUCGAACGGAAAGGCCCUGCUUUUGUUGGGUGCUCGAGUGGCGAACGGGUGAGUAACACGUGAGUAACCUGCCCUUGACUUUGGGAUAACUUCAGGAAACUGGGGCUAAUACCGGAUAGGAGCUCCUGCUGCAUGGUGUGGGUUGGAAAGUUUCGGCGGUUGGGGAUGGACUCGCGGCUUAUCAGCUUGUUGGUGGGGUAGUGGCUUACCAAGGCUUUGACGGGUAGCCGGCCUGAGAGGGUGAACGGCCACAUGGGGACUGAGAUACGGCCCAGAAUCCUACGGGAGGCAGCAGUGGGGAAUAUUGCACAAUGGGCGGAAGCCUGAUGCAGCAACGCCGCGUGCGGGAUGACGGCCUUCGGGUUGUAAACCGCUUUCGAAUGUGACGAAGCGUGAGUGACGGUAAUGGGUAAAGAAGCAACGGCUAACUACGUG
This 468-nucleotide ribosomal RNA is filed under the name uncultured bacterium. RNAcentral describes it as "partial 16S ribosomal RNA". It matches the Rfam family "Bacterial small subunit ribosomal RNA", at positions 28 to 507 of the family's 1533-position model. The record is from RNAcentral.